Non-coding RNA from Vigna umbellata (rice bean), 2058 nucleotides. Lineage: Eukaryota; Viridiplantae; Streptophyta; Magnoliopsida; Fabales; Fabaceae. The record is from RefSeq and is a predicted model, not a curated record.
AAAGAGAUUACUCUACAUCCAACUGAGGGCGCAAUCGCUCCUCAGAAUUCUUUCUUCAGACAAAACAACAAAAAUAAAAUACGCUCCAAAUCCCAAUUGCCCAAACCCUAACCCUACCUCUUCCACCGCCAUGGCCAAGAAACGAAAGCUUCGAUCCUCAGACCCUGAACCCGCCAAACCCAUCGAGCCACAGCAACAAGACCAAGAACCAGAGGAACAACUCGACCAGCAAGAGCAACCCAAUCCCGAACCAACCUUAGAAGAGCCCAACACCAUGGCCGUCGACGAACCAACAGAGGAACAGCAGCAAGAACAGCAAAUCGCCGAAGGUCAAGAAGAGGAAGAGGAAUUAGAGGAGCAACAGGAGCAGGAGCCAGAAACCCUAGAAGAGCAACAGGAGCCGGAAGCUCUAGAAGCUGCGAACCACGCCGAAGCAAACGGUGCUGGAGAAGAAGAGAACAACGAAGAGGAAGAUGAGGAUCUCAGUCUUGAAGACGAGCCCGUGGAGAAACUUCUCGAACCAUUCACGAAGGAGCAGCUGCAUGCUCUUGUGAAGCAGGCCGUGGAGAGGUUCCCUGAAUUUGUCGAGAGCGUACGCCAGCUCGCCGAUGUGGACCCCGCACACCGGAAGAUCUUCGUCCACGGCCUCGGCUGGGACGCCACUGCCGAAACCCUAACUUCCGUGUUUGGGAAAUACGGCGAGAUCGAGGACUGCAAGGCCGUCACCGACAAAGUCUCUGGCAAAUCGAAGGGUUACGCUUUCAUCCUUUUCAAGCACAGGGAUGAUGCUCGCAAGGCGCUGAAAAAUCCCCAGAAGAAAAUUGGAAACCGUACCACUUCUUGUCAGCUGGCCUCUGCUGGCCCUGUUCCGGCGCCCCCGCCGAACGCCAAUCCGGUUUCUGAGUAUACGCAGCGGAAGAUAUUUGUGAGCAACGUGAGUGCUGAGAUUGAUCCCCCAAAACUGCUUGAUUUCUUCAAGCAAUUUGGGGAGGUUGAGGAUGGUCCUCUUGGGCUGGACAAGAACACCGGGAAACCUAAGGGUUUCGCUCUGUUUGUUUAUAGGUCUGUGGAAAGUGCUAAAAAGGCUUUGGAAGAACCUCAUAAGAACUUUGAAGGCCAUACUUUGUAUUGUCAGAAGGCUGUCGAUGGUCCCAAGGGGAACAAAGGGUAUCAUCAGUAUCACCAUCAGCAGCAUUCCCAUCAUCAUCACCAUCACCAUCAUCAGCCUCAUUAUCAGAGAAAGGAGAAGAACAAGUAUUCCUCUGGGGGAGGUGGUCCGUCCCAUGGCAGUGGUCAUUUGAUGGCCCCCUCGGCGUCUGCUGUGGGGGGUUUCAACCCGGGCGUGCCGGCUCAAGGGUUGAAUCCUGCUCUUGGACAGGCGCUAACGGCUUUGCUCACUAACCAGGGAGCUGGAUUAGGUCUUGGAAAUCUGCUUGGAGGACUUGGUGGUGCCCCCGUUAACCAGGCGGGGCCACCUGCCCCGUAUGGGAAUCAGCCUGCUAUGGGAUAUGGGAACCAGCCAGCAAUGCAACAGGGAUACCAGAAUCCUCAAAUGGGUCAGAGCAGUGCUGUCAGACCCCACCCUGGUGCGGGCGCUCCUUACAUGGGUCAUUAGAUACCCUCAUAAGAUGCAUCAAUCAUUUAGUUUUGGACUCCGCUGAUUCUUCUGAAGUACCAGCUUGGAACCUUCCAUUCACUUCUUUGGCAAGAAAUGGCCACACUUGGUGGGUGGGUUGGCUCUCACUGUAUUCAAGUGUACCGGGGGUUGGAGUGAAUGUCAGAGAAGAUCAGAUGGGUGCGAUGGUGUUAUCAUCUUUGCAGUUAUCCAUGGCUUGACAAGGCAAUUGGCACAAGCGAGAACUGCACAUCUGACUCAAACAACCGGAGAUAUUACAUGGCAAUCAAGAAGAUUAGUGAUAAUACUUGGAAAACAAAAUACUUAAUGUUUGUUACAUCUUGUUAGAGCUCCGAUAAAUUUGGGGUGCUUGCUUGAUCUUGGACGAGGUGUAACAUUUGUUUUGUUUGGAAAUUUGAGGUUUCCUCCAACACUUGGUCUAA